CAGCAGCCCCUCACACAAGGCCCAGCUCCCUUCCAGAGGCUCAGCCAUGCCCCUGGAGGUCUGGAUCCUGCGCUCUGCCCUCAGCCUGCUCCUGCUGCUGUCUGCCCCCAUCAUCACCCUCCUCCUGGAGAGAUGCAGCCACAGUGCCCACAGAGACAGGCAGCCUGGAGACGUCCCCGUCCCCAUGCAGCUCUGAUGUCCCCCUGAGUUCCAUGCUGUCCCCAGCCUGCUCCCUCAUGCUCAGAGCAUGACCCCCACCGUUGCCGGGCUCCCGCUGCCUUUGGGUUGAAGGCAGCUGGGGCAGCAUGCCCAAGGGAUGUGCUGCCACUGCUCUGCUUCCCUUGGCUCAGCGCCUGCUCUCUGCUCCCAUCAAGGAUUACCACUGGAUCGCAGACCCUCCCAGCUGGGUUCAACCCCAGCACCCACAUAGCUGCCCUGCCUGCUCAGAGAAUCACAUCUACAUCACAGGAUCCAUCUCUGCAUACCGGGAAAACACGAGGGGAUGGAGUCACAGCUGCACCCCCAGGCAGCCAUGAUCUGCAGCUCCUGCAUCACUCCAGCACCUCCCUGUGCCCAAGGUGGUGCUGGCCGCAAUGGGCAUAUCCCCAAGUGAUUACAGUGCUCCCUCUCGAGGCACCUUGGUGGGUAUUGGUCCUGUGGGAGGCAAGUUAUAAAGGAUUGGUUCAGAAUGCACCAGCUGAUGUUGCUGCUCUGUAUUUGAGAGGGAAGCCAGAGAGCAGAGCUGGGAGAGCUGCUCUAUGACUGCCAUAUGGGGCCAUGUGUCCUACGUGGGAGCUGCUGUUCCCUUUGCCCUGCCACCCAAGAGUUCCCCUACCUACUGGCAUUGCCCUGGCAGAUGUGUCAUGGAAAACUGCCUGAGAUCUGAGGAUGGCUGACACCAUGUAGAGGUCCAGGGGGUGGCAUGCCUGGCACUCUACAUCCCAUGCCCACCCAUUCCUGUGCUGGAUUUUCUGUCUCUCAAUGCGCCAUCCCCAGGAGACAGCCCUGAGCAGGGACAUUGUACAUGGGGGCAUCCAGCUGUGGGCCAGGUGGGGAUGGGGUCUCAGCAUGGCUGGCCCCAACACCCACACACCAUCCCCAGCCUUGCACUAUGGGCUUUUAGCCAUCCCACACCAAUUCCAAGAAGGAGCCAAAGUGUCCCUUCUCUGCAGCUCCCAGUGCUGACAUCUGGGGCCUUGGUGUGCAGUGGGGGACUCUGGGACAAGAUGGGUGCAGGCAGGACAGGAGCUGCUCAGCUGGGAGGCACGAGGAUGCAGGACUGCAUGGAUAGAAUAGGGGAUAGGAAAAUGGGGUCAAAACUCAGCAAGAGCUGCUUGGAGGCAGAGCUGGAGGGGAUGUGGGUUUCAGGCUCCUUCCUGCAAGCACAGUCCCUCACCUCCCAUGCUCUCAUUGAAGCACUUGUCCCACAGCUUCCUUCAGGCCCAUGCAUGCAUGUUUCACAGCACAAGCCUCCAGGAGACUCUUCCUCAAAGGGAAUAUACAGAGUUAGGUGGACGGAGCUACUCCCUCAUUCCCAUACAGCCUCCAACCCUCCCUGGUGAGCCAAUCGCACUGUGGUGCCAGCUGCGAAAUUUCUGAGGUUAACCUCUGACCAGCAUCCUGAGAGUAAUGAAGAUAUUGAAUGGAAUUCGACGUAAUUAGGAAGAAUUUAGGAAGAACUUCUUUACGAAAAGGGUUGUUAAAAAUUGGAAUGGGCUGCCCAGGGAGGUGGUGGAGUCACCAUCCCUGGAGGCCUUUAAAAGACAUUUGGAUGUAGAGAUUAGUUAUAUGGUUUAGUGGAGGACUUGUUAGUGUUAGGUCAGAGGUUGGACUCGAUGAUCUUGAGGUCUCUUCCAACCUAGAAAUUCUGUAAUUCUGUGAUUCUGUAAUUUGGAUCCCUGGAGUACACUACCAGUUAGCAGCCUUCAGCUGAUGUGGUGCAAUUGCCUAAAGUAACUAGGAAAAUAAAACUAACAUUCAUGUUUUAAAGAAAAUGUACAGCAUUAAAGAGGCUUUCAGGGUUAGGCGUAGCUGCAUUACCUAAGCGUUCCCUAGGCUUCCAACCUUAGAUGCUAUCACACUGGGGGAACCUGGUGUGCAGGUUCUAAGGGACAGUACGAAGCAUAGAGUGGAGUGGAGACACCGCGGCUAGGCUCUGUGACCAGGUGGGGACUCGAUUGUUCUUGUGCACACUGAGACUGAUAAGCCACACUUUUUCCGACCCUGAGACAACAACCUGUCAUGUUUUGACAAAUGCUGUAGCCUAGUGUACUUUUCCUCAUUGUAAUAUCAUUAUAAUACCAAAACACACCUCCAUCCCAAAAGCUACCUGCCUCCAAUGUGCGACCACCCCUCACUCAGCAUGCACUCUGAAUUUCUCGGUGCCUUUUACUUUAACCGAAAUGGGAGAACUUUUCUCCAAUCAUAACUAAGAUAUGCUUGACUAGAGUCACUCAAGCUCCACCUACAAGAUAGAAAAUAAUAUAAAUUGGCCUAAGAGAGAGGGGAUGUUUUGGAAGAUACCACUGAAGGGGAGAUACCACCCUGAGGGAAUACACCAUCCUGAGGACCUCCUGACUCCUGGGAUCAGUUGUCGGGCUGAGCUUCUCUUCCACCCUCUGCCCCCAUUGGGAGGCCUUUGGGUGAGAUUUGAACACACGGCUAUACUGUGUGUCUCUGCAGAAACUUUGAAAUCUCUAUAGAGUCUUUGUGCCUUUUAACACAUUAAUUUCCAGGCUGUGCACCUGUUUCACCUAUGUCACCUGUGUAUUUCGUGCAUGCUAGCUUGCUUUUGCAGACAGUAACUAUGGCUGGCAAUCCAAAGAACCUGCAUACCUGUUGCUGUAAUAAAUCGCACUUGAAUGCAUUGUUCCUACCCA
Non-coding RNA from Anas platyrhynchos (mallard), 2879 nucleotides. The record is from RefSeq and is a predicted model, not a curated record. Lineage: Eukaryota; Metazoa; Chordata; Aves; Anseriformes; Anatidae.